AAAAGUUUUAUGCGUGAUAGCCCGGUGAGCAUCUCCGCUCCGCUGCGCAAAAACUAAAUGCUGUGUGUGUUUUGUGCCACUUAAAAUAUUUCUAAAUUAUGCCAGGGGACUAUUUUUCGGAAUAUUGAGAUUUCGGAAUAUCGGGCCUUCGGAACACUGGACCGUCCCCAAAUGCCCCACUAGCUAAUGCCUUUACCCUGCUGCUAGUGAGGUUAAAUGCCCCGCUAGCUAAUGCCUUUACCCUGCUGCUAGUGAUGUUAAAUGCCCCGCUAGCUAAUGCCUUUACCCUGCUGCUAGUGAUGUUAAAUGCCCCACUAGCUAAUGCCUUUACCCUGCUGCUAGUGAGGUUAAAUGCCCCGCUAGCUAAUGCCUUUACCCUGAUGCUAGUGAGGUUAAAUGCCCCACUGGCUAAUGCCUUUACCCUGAUGCUAGUGAGGUUAAAUGCCCCACUAGCUAAUGCCUUUACCCUGCUGCUAGUGAGGUUAAAUGCCCCACUGGCUAAUGCCUUUAACCUGCUGCUAGUGAUGUUAUAUCCCCACUAGCUAAUGCCUUUACCCUGCUGCUAGUGAGGUUAAAUGCCCCACUGGCUAAUGCCUUUACCCUGCUGCUAGUGAGGUUAAAUGCCCCACUAGCUAAUGCCUUUACCCUGCUGCUAGUGAUGUUAAAUGCCCCACUAGCUAAUGCCUUUACCCUGCUGCUAGUGAGGUUAAAUGCCCCGCUAGCUAAUGCCUUUACCCUGCUGCUAGUGAGGUUAAAUGCCCCGCUAGCUAAUGCCUUUACCCUGCUGCUAGUGAUGUUAAAUGCCCCACUAGCUAAUGCCUUUACCCUGCUGCUAGUGAGGUUAAAUGCCCCGCUAGCUAAUGCCUUCCACAUGCCUUAAACCAGACACCUCUGUUGAUUAAAUGUCAAAGCCUCAAAAAGAAUUCAGUACAUUUUUGAAAGGUUUCAAAGCAUUACCUUUUCACAGGCCUAC
Clupea harengus (Atlantic herring) is the source of this 973-nucleotide long non-coding RNA. The record is from Ensembl. Lineage: Eukaryota; Metazoa; Chordata; Actinopteri; Clupeiformes; Clupeidae.